RNAcentral lists this ribosomal RNA (420 nucleotides) under uncultured bacterium. RNAcentral describes it as "bacterial SSU rRNA". It matches the Rfam family "Bacterial small subunit ribosomal RNA", at positions 362 to 773 of the family's 1533-position model. The record is from RNAcentral.
UCUUCCGCAAUGGGCGAAAGCCUGACGGAGCGACGCCGCGUGGGGGACGAAGGCCUUCGGGUCGUAAACCCCUGUCAGAGGGAAAGAUGGGUGCCGGCGUGAACAGCGCCGGCAUUUGACGGUACCCUCAGAGGAAGCCACGGCCAACUCCGUGCCAGCAGCCGCGGUAAUACGGAGGUGGCAAGCGUUGCUCGGAAUCACUGGGCGUAAAGGGCGCGUAGGCGGGGAGGUAAGGCGGGGGUGAAAUCCCUCGGCUCAACCGAGGACCUGCGCCCGAGACUGCUUCUCUUGAGUCCCGGAGAGGAAGGUGGAAUUCCCGGUGUAGCGGUGAAAUGUGUAGAGAUCGGGAGGAACACCGGUGGCGAAGGCGGCCUUCUGGACGGUGACUGACGCUGAGGCGCGAAAGCGUGGGGAGCAAAC